AAGGAUCAUUAUUGAAUUAUUAAUGGGAUGUGCUGGUAAUGUUUUCAAAGUUACAUGUGCACUCCCAAAUCCAUUUAUUCACCUGUGCACCUUAGGUAGGCAUUCAUGAUUGAUAACAUCAAUCAAGAGUGUUCUAUGUUUUUUAUCACACCCUUAAUAAUGAGAAAGAAUGUGUUAACAUAUUAAUACAACUUUCAACAAUGGAUCUCUUGGUUCUC
Molecule: unclassified non-coding RNA, 218 nt
Filed under: uncultured fungus
Lineage: Eukaryota; Fungi
Description: partial contains 18S rRNA, ITS1, 5.8S rRNA, ITS2 and 28S rRNA
Source: RNAcentral